GAUGAACGCUGGCGGCGUGCCUAAUACAUGCAAGUCGAGCGAACAGACGAGGAGCUUGCUCCUCUGACGUUAGCGGCGGACGGGUGAGUAACACGUGGAUAACCUACCUAUAAGACUGGGAUAACUUCGGGAAACCGGAGCUAAUACCGGAUAAUAUAUUGAACCGCAUGGUUCAAUAGUGAAAGACGGUUUUGCUGUCACUUAUAGAUGGAUCCGCGCCGCAUUAGCUAGUUGGUAAGGUAACGGCUUACCAAGGCGACGAUGCGUAGCCGACCUGAGAGGGUGAUCAGCCACACUGGGACUGAGACACGGUCCAGACUCCUACGGGAGGCAGCAGUAGGGAAUCUUCCGCAAUGGGCGAAAGCCUGACGGAGCAACGCCGCGUGAGUGGUGAAGGUCUUCGGAUCGUAAAACUCUGUUAUUAGGGAAGAACAAAUGUGUAAGUAACUAUGCACGUCUUGACGGUACCUAAUCAGAAAGCCCCGGCUAACUACGUG
This 497-nucleotide ribosomal RNA is filed under the name uncultured bacterium. Its description in RNAcentral is "partial 16S ribosomal RNA". It matches the Rfam family "Bacterial small subunit ribosomal RNA", at positions 28 to 507 of the family's 1533-position model. The record is from RNAcentral.